CACAAGCGGUGGAUGAUGUGGAUUAAUUCGAUGCAACGCGAAAACCUUACCUACCCUUGACAUGUCCGGAAUCCCGAAGAGAUUUGGGAGUGCUCGAAAGAGAACCUGCACACAGGUGCUGCAUGGCUGUCGUCAGCUCGUGUCGUGAGAUGUUGGGUUAAGUCCCGCAACGAGCGCAACCCUUGCCAUUAGUUGCUACGAAAGGGCACUCUAAUGGGACUGCCGGUGACAAACCGGAGGAAGGUGGGGAUGACGUCAAGUCCUCAUGGCCCUUAUAGGUGGGGCUACACACGUCAUACAAUGGCCGGUACAGAGGGUAGCCAACCCGCGAGGGGGAGCCAAUCCCACAAAGCCGGUCGUAGUCCGGAUUGUUCUCUGCAACUCGAGAGCAUGAAGUCGGAAUCGCUAGUAAUCGCGGAUCAGCAUGUCGCGGUGAAUACGUUCCCGGGUCUU
Molecule: ribosomal RNA, 453 nt
Filed under: uncultured Allobrachymonas sp.
Lineage: Bacteria; Pseudomonadati; Pseudomonadota; Betaproteobacteria; Burkholderiales; Comamonadaceae
Description: bacterial SSU rRNA
Rfam family: Bacterial small subunit ribosomal RNA
Source: RNAcentral